AAUAUAGUGGCCGAGUUUUAGGUAUUAGACUGUAAAUCUAACAACGAGACCAGUUCUCCUAUAUUA
Molecule: transfer RNA, 66 nt
Filed under: Gondwanalimnadia sp. MT-2020
Lineage: Eukaryota; Metazoa; Arthropoda; Branchiopoda; Diplostraca; Limnadiidae
Description: tRNA-Tyr
Source: RNAcentral